AGUGAACGCUGGCGGUAGGCCUAACACAUGCAAGUCGAACGGCAGCACAGUAAGAGCUUGCUCUUACGGGUGGCGAGUGGCGGACGGGUGAGGAAUACAUCGGAAUCUACUUUUUCGUGGGGGAUAACGUAGGGAAACUUACGCUAAUACCGCAUACGACCUACGGGUGAAAGCAGGGGAUCUUCGGACCUUGCGCGAUUGAAUGAGCCGAUGUCGGAUUAGCUGGUUGGCGGGGUAAAGGCCCACCAAGGCGACGAUCCGUAGCUGGUCUGAGAGGAUGAUCAGCCACACUGGAACUGAGACACGGUCCAGACUCCUACGGGAGGCAGCAGUGGGGAAUAUUGGACAAUGGGCGCAAGCCUGAUCCAGCCAUACCGCGUGGGUGAAGAAGGCCUUCGGGUUGUAAAGCCCUUUUGUCGGGAAAGAAAAGCAGCAGGUUAAUACCCCGCUGUUCUGACGGUACCCAAAGAAUAAGCACCGGCUAACUUCGUG
RNAcentral lists this ribosomal RNA (492 nucleotides) under uncultured bacterium. Its description in RNAcentral is "partial 16S ribosomal RNA". It matches the Rfam family "Bacterial small subunit ribosomal RNA", at positions 29 to 507 of the family's 1533-position model. The record is from RNAcentral.